UACAGAGGGUGCGAGCGUUGUUCGGAAUUAUUGGGCGUAAAGGGUGCGUAGGCGGGUCUUUAAGUCAGGGGUGAAAUCCUGGAGCUCAACUCCAGAACUGCCUUUGAUACUGAGGAUCUUGAGUUCGGGAGAGGUGAGUGGAACUGCGAGUGUAGAGGUGAAAUUCGUAGAUAUUCGCAAGAACACCAGUGGCGAAGGCGGCUCACUGGCCCGAUACUGACGCUGAGGCACGAAAGCGUGGGGAGCAAACAGG
RNAcentral lists this ribosomal RNA (253 nucleotides) under uncultured bacterium. Its description in RNAcentral is "partial 16S ribosomal RNA". It matches the Rfam family "Bacterial small subunit ribosomal RNA", at positions 524 to 776 of the family's 1533-position model. The record is from RNAcentral.